This 629-nucleotide long non-coding RNA is filed under the name Phasianus colchicus (ring-necked pheasant). RNAcentral's name for it is "lncRNA (ENSPCLG00000015501.1)". The record is from RNAcentral. Lineage: Eukaryota; Metazoa; Chordata; Aves; Galliformes; Phasianidae.
UUUUAAUAAAAUGCUGUACUGAUAUUGCAGUUUAAAGAUGUUGUUCAUGUACAUGUUCUAAUACAUUUACAAAGUAAAUGUGUGUCUUUAUUCUUCAUGAGUGCACAUCAGAGCUGGGCUAGCCAAUGAAGCUGAGGAGCUCAACAUUUCUUCCUGCAUCAUGUUGCCUGUGACUGCAGAGCUCAGUUGGCAUCCUGUGGUGGAGAAGCCCUUCUGCAGCCUUCUCUUUAUUUUGAAGGUUUCUGUAGCUCUGGGAGCAACCUUCUUGUUGGAAAUGUGUCUUGAGAGCAGCAGCAGAAUGAGGACAGGCAGUGGUGCUGAUAUGGAGAUGGCGUGCACCCUACACAGUCUCUGCCCUGCCUUCCCCUGUACAAAACGAGGAGAUAAUCCAGCAAGUUUGCAGGCCAAAUGGCUCUCUGAACGUGAGCCCACAAAUCGCUGAAUGAGGCAGUGCACUGCUCCAGGAGGUUACAGCAUAGCCAGCCAGAAGGUGGCUUUAACAGUGAUGUUAGAAACAAAAAAUGGCUUGAAACGGUUUGUAACUGACUAUCCUGAUAAUUAAUUGUAGGUAAUGUUGCAGUCACUCAUGCUUCUUCCUUUUUCUCAAAAUAAACUCUUGUUUUCAGCCA